Molecule: unclassified non-coding RNA, 326 nt
Filed under: soil metagenome
Description: partial contains 5.8S ribosomal RNA, internal transcribed spacer 2, and large subunit ribosomal RNA
Rfam family: 5.8S ribosomal RNA (bases 1-120)
Source: RNAcentral
GAUGAAGAACGUAGCGAAAUGCGAUAAGUAAUGUGAAUUGCAGAAUUCAGUGAAUCAUCGAAUCUUUGAACGCACAUUGCGCCCCUUGGUAUUCCGAGGGGCAUGCCUGUUCGAGCGUCAUUAUCACCCCUCAAGCUUUGCUUGGUGUUGGGGCCUGCUGUAAUAGGCAGCCCUUAAAAUCAGUGGCGGUGCUUCAAGGCUCUAAGCGUAGUAAUUCUCCUCGCUAUAGUGUCUAGUGGUUGCCAGCCAGAACCCCCCAAUUUUCAUGAUUGACCUCGGAUCAGGUAGGGAUACCCGCUGAACUUAAGCAUAUCAAUAGCGGAGGA